GGCCUAAAUUUGAAGUAGAGUAGUUUAGUAGGGUCAGAUAAUUCUUCUAAUCUCUCUACUUCAAAUUUGGCCCC
This 74-nucleotide microRNA precursor is filed under the name Haemonchus placei. RNAcentral describes it as "mir-5928 microRNA precursor family". It matches the Rfam family "mir-5928 microRNA precursor family". Lineage: Eukaryota; Metazoa; Nematoda; Chromadorea; Rhabditida; Trichostrongylidae. The record is from Rfam by way of RNAcentral.